AUGGCUCAGGAUGAACGCUGGCGGCGUGCUUAACACAUGCAAGUCGAACGAAGCAGUUUAUUACGAUCCCUUCGGGGUGACGAUUUACUGACUGAGUGGCGGACGGGUGAGUAACGCGUGGGUAACCUGCCUUGUACAGGGGGACAACAGUUGGAAACGACUGCUAAUACCGCAUAAGCGCACAGCUUCGCAUGAAGCAGUGUGAAAAGUAUUUUCGGUACAAGAUGGACCCGCGUCUGAUUAGCUAGUUGGUGAGGUAACGGCCCACCAAGGCGACGAUCAGUAGCCGACCUGAGAGGGUGACCGGCCACAUUGGGACUGAGACACGGCCCAAACUCCUACGGGAGGCAGCAGUGGGGAAUAUUGCACAAUGGGCGAAAGCCUGAUGCAGCGACGCCGCGUGAGCGAAGAAGUAUUUCGGUAUGUAAAGCUCUAUCAGCAGGGAAGAUAAUGACGGUACCUGACUAAGAAGCACCGGCUAAAUACGUGCCAGCAGCCGCGGUAAUACGUAUGGUGCAAGCGUUAUCCGGAUUUACUGGGUGUAAAGGGAGCGUAGGCGGUUUUACAAGUCUGAUGUGAAAGCCCGGGGCUCAACUCCGGUAUUGCAUUGGAAACUGUAGAACUAGAGUGUCGGAGGGGUAAGUGGAAUUCCUAGUGUAGCGGUGAAAUGCGUAGAUAUUAGGAGGAACACCAGUGGCGAAGGCGGCUUAC
RNAcentral lists this ribosomal RNA (711 nucleotides) under Pseudobutyrivibrio sp. P17. RNAcentral describes it as "bacterial SSU rRNA". It matches the Rfam family "Bacterial small subunit ribosomal RNA", at positions 19 to 729 of the family's 1533-position model. Lineage: Bacteria; Bacillati; Bacillota; Clostridia; Lachnospirales; Lachnospiraceae. The record is from RNAcentral.